RNAcentral lists this small nucleolar RNA (95 nucleotides) under Oryza sativa Indica Group (long-grained rice). Its description in RNAcentral is "Plant small nucleolar RNA R71". Lineage: Eukaryota; Viridiplantae; Streptophyta; Magnoliopsida; Poales; Poaceae. The record is from RNAcentral.
AUCCCAUGAUGAGGACAGGCGGCUACAUACUCUUGGAGCCGUUCCCAAGCUUCGGGAAUUGAUUGGAAUCUAGAAAUCCUUCCAUGAAUGGCGUU